UGAAUUGCAGAAUUCAGUGAAUCAUCGAAUCUUUGAACGCACAUUGCGCCCCUUGGUAUUCCGAGGGGCAUGCCUGUUCGAGCGUCAUUA
This 90-nucleotide ribosomal RNA is filed under the name Aureobasidium pullulans. RNAcentral describes it as "partial 5.8S ribosomal RNA". It matches the Rfam family "5.8S ribosomal RNA", at positions 68 to 154 of the family's 154-position model. Rfam says of the family: 5.8S ribosomal RNA (5.8S rRNA) is a component of the large subunit of the eukaryotic ribosome. It is transcribed by RNA polymerase I as part of the 45S precursor that also contains 18S and 28S rRNA. Functionally, it is thought that 5.8S rRNA may be involved in ribosome translocation. The record is from RNAcentral. Lineage: Eukaryota; Fungi; Ascomycota; Dothideomycetes; Dothideales; Saccotheciaceae.